CAUGUGACGAGUUUGAUCAUGGCUCAGGAUGAACGCUAGCGGCAGGCCUAAUACAUGCAAGUCAAGGGGAUAGCAAUAUCACCGGCGGACGGGUGCGUAACGCGUACACAACGUGCCCAAGGGCGGAGGAAAGCGGCGGGAAACUGCCGGUAAUACUCCAUGGUGUUGUUGAGUGGCAUCACUUAACAACUAAAGUACAAGCGCCCUUGGAUCGGUGUGCGUUCGAUUAGCUAGUUGGCGGGGUAACGGCCCACCAAGGCUUCGAUCGAUAGGGGGUGUGAGAGCAUGACCCCCCACACGGGUACUGAGACACGGACCCGACUCCUACGGGAGGCAGCAGUAAGGAAUAUUGGACAAUGGGCGGAAGCCUGAUCCAGCCAUGCCGCGUGAAGGACGAAGGCGCUCAGCGUUGUAAACUUCUUUUGGAUGGGAACAAUAACUCCGACUUGUCGGAACUUGAGGGUACCAUCAGAAUAAGCACCGGCUAACUCCGUG
RNAcentral lists this ribosomal RNA (495 nucleotides) under uncultured bacterium. Its description in RNAcentral is "bacterial SSU rRNA". It matches the Rfam family "Bacterial small subunit ribosomal RNA", at positions 1 to 507 of the family's 1533-position model. The record is from RNAcentral.